GCAUCUCUCACAUUGAUCCCUCUCUAGCCUUGGUCAGCUCUUAAAUCCUUGUCUAACUUGACCUCUUCCACGUCCACAUCUGCGUCCACAUCCUCUCACAUGGCUAAUUUCUCUUUCUAUAAGGGCUGCUGCCAACAGAUCCGCCUUUUUCUUAAGCCUUUCAUCUGCUUCCUUUUCCCUUCCUUAGUUCUCCUGCUCCUGCAGUCGGCUGGCAGGGCUGGGCAAGGACAAACCUGAAUAUAAAAUUCAGUGUGUCUGCUGCCCACCAGUCCUUUAUGCUUGGAGAAGAGAGAGAUGUUUCUCUUUUUCCUCUCUUCUAUCUAUUAAACCUCCGCUCCUAAAGUCCUCGUGUUUGUCCCUGUCCUAAAUUUUCCUGGUGCAUGACGACAAACCCCGGGUAUGUAGACCAGACAAUGUAGCCGCUUCAAGGGAUUUGAGUGAGGAAGGAAUGAAUCAAUGGAGCCCAGGGGGGUUUUAGAGCAUUCAAACUAUUCAGGAUGAUACUAUGGGGACCAAGGGAGAGCUUUCCCCUUCUCCCUCUGAAGGACCACUGAAAAAUCACUGACAGAUUGUCUCAUAGGAGAAAAGCAUACAUAUUUGUUUAAUGCGUAUACACGGGAGCCUUUGAAAUGGAGACCCAACUUCUCAACAGAGUACAGAGCUUAGAUACCAUCUUGAGGUUCCACAAAGAAUGUGGGCUCAGAGCAUGGCCAAAACUAGGUUAGGGGCUGGGCGCAGUGGCUCACAACUGUCAUCCCAGCACUUUGGGAGGCUGAGGCGGGCAGAUCACUUGAGCUCAGGAGUUCGAGACCAGCCUGGCCAACAUGGCGAAACUCCCUCUCUACUAAAAAUACAAAAAUUAGCCGGGUGUGAUGGCGGGCGCCUGUAAUCCCAGCUACUUGAGAGGCUAAAGCAGGAGGAUCCCUUGAGCCCAGGAGUUCAAGACUGCAGUGAGCUGUUAUUGUGCCACUGCCCUCUAGCCUGGGUGAUAGUGAGACCCUGUCUCAAAACAAACAAAAAAACCCCUAAAUCUGUGGACUCUGGGUGAUUAUGACAUGUCAAUGUAGGUUCAUAAAGUAUAACAGCUGUACCCCCUGGUGGGGGAUGUUGAUAAUGGGGGAGACUGGGUUGGGGCGAGGACAUACGGGAAAUCUCUGUAACCUUCUUCUAAUUUUGCUGUGAACCUAAAUCUGCUCUAAAAAUGUAUAUAUAUAAAAAGUGGGGCCUUCCUUUCCCUCUCCCCUGCCCCAGCCCUCUCCCCCACCUCCUUCCUCUCCCUGCUGCCUCCCCUCUGCCCUCCCCUUUCCUCCUUAGCCACUGUAAAUGACACUGCAGUGAAUAUCCUGGAGCACAAAGGGCAUGUCUCCCAGUUCAGAAUUACCUCCUUUAUUUAGGGCAGGUUCUCAGAACUAGAGUAGCCGGGCAAAGGUCUGAGGCAAAUGCCUUUGCCCUGGGGCGCCCCAGCCACCUGCAGGCCCCUUAUUUCCUGUGGCCGAGCUCCUCCUCCCACCCUCCAGUCCUUUCCCCAGCCUCCCUCGCCCACUAGGCCUCCUGAAUUGCUGGCACCGGCUGUGGUCGACAGACAGAGGGACAGACGUGGCUCUGCAGGUCCACUCGGUCCCUGGCACCGGCCGCAGGGGUGGCAGAACGGGAGUGUGGUUGGUGUGGGAAGCACAGGCCCCAGUGUCUCCUGGGGGACUGUUGGGUGGGAAGGCUCUGGCUGCCCUCACCCUGUUCCCAUCACUGCAGAGGGCUGUGCGGUGGCUGGAGCUGCCACCGAGCGUCUCGGUGAGGGUGACCUCACACUGGCUGAGCUUACAGGCCCCAUCUGAAGACUUUGUUCGUGGUGUUCUUUCACUUCUCAGAGCCUUUCCUGGCUCCAGGAUUAAUACCUGUUCACAGAAAAUACGAGUGGCCUCCUCUUCCUCCACAACCUCACAGGACCUUCUCCCUUCCCUCCCGCUGGCCUCCUUUUCUCUCCUGUCACUCUGCCUGGGCAUGCCCCAGGGCCUUGGCUGUGUCCUUUCUUUCCUCAGGGAAGACCACAAGUUUGGGCUAGAUGCCUCCGCACCCCCCCACCCACACCCCCUGAGCCUCUAGUCCUCCCUCCCAGGAUGCAUCAGGCUGGAUGGUGACAUCUCCCCACCCUUGAAUGAGACGGCUUUGUGCUGCUCUGGGACCCGCACCCAGCUUGGACUGCUUGCUCCAUGGCCCCAGGAAAAGCUCGUACAGAUAAGUGACACCAAGCCCUGUGAACAAACCAGAAGGCAGGGCACUGUGCACCCUGCCCGGCCCCACCAUCCCCCUUACCACCCGCCACCUUGCCACCUGCCUCUGCUCCCAGACCCCAUGCUGCACUAUGUGGGCUUCGUCCCUGUCAUUGAUGGAGACUUCAUCCCCGCUGACCCGAUCAA
This 2414-nucleotide long non-coding RNA is filed under the name Homo sapiens (human). RNAcentral's name for it is "novel transcript". Lineage: Eukaryota; Metazoa; Chordata; Mammalia; Primates; Hominidae. The record is from RNAcentral.